This 220-nucleotide ribosomal RNA is filed under the name Triticum aestivum (bread wheat). Its description in RNAcentral is "partial small subunit ribosomal RNA". Lineage: Eukaryota; Viridiplantae; Streptophyta; Magnoliopsida; Poales; Poaceae. The record is from RNAcentral.
GGGAACUGGGUUUGUUUCGUGUCACUAACUCGGAGGUUGGUUUGUACAAAAAACCCACCCGUUCUCCUGUUACGCCCCGCUGCCACUACGUGAUCGGAAGUAAAGAACUAAGGGUGAUUGGUAAAUGUUGUGACGAUGGUCCUUCUAUAAAGACUCCGUAGGUUUCCUGUACAAAACAGAACACAGUACACGAGUAAACGACUGGUAUCUAAGUGAAACU